AGCUUCGAGGUGUUACCACGUCGGAUUGCAAAUCCGAAAUAGCAGGUUAGCCCCUGCCGGGGCUU
This 65-nucleotide transfer RNA is filed under the name Xenodexia ctenolepis. RNAcentral describes it as "tRNA-Cys". The record is from RNAcentral. Lineage: Eukaryota; Metazoa; Chordata; Actinopteri; Cyprinodontiformes; Poeciliidae.